UACGAAGGGGGCUAGCGUUGUUCGGAAUUACUGGGCGUAAAGCGCGCGCAGGCGGUCCUUUAAGUCGGGGGUGAAAGCCCAGAGCUCAACUCUGGAACUGCCUUCGAAACUAGAGGACUUGGGUACGGGAGAGGUGAGUGGAAUUCCGAGUGUAGAGGUGAAAUUCGUAGAUAUUCGGAAGAACACCAGUGGCGAAGGCGGCUCACUGGCCCGUUACCGACGCUCAGGCGCGACAGCGUGGGAGCAAACAGG
RNAcentral lists this ribosomal RNA (252 nucleotides) under uncultured bacterium. Its description in RNAcentral is "partial 16S ribosomal RNA". It matches the Rfam family "Bacterial small subunit ribosomal RNA", at positions 524 to 776 of the family's 1533-position model. The record is from RNAcentral.